CCUACGGGAUGCAGCAGUGGGGAAUAUUGCACAAUGGGCGCAAGCCUGAUGCAGCCAUGCCGCGUGUAUGAAGAAGGCCUUCGGGUUGUAAAGUACUUUCAACGGGGAGGAAGGCGAUAAGGUUAAUGACCUUGUCGAUUGACGUUACCCGCAGAAGAAGCACCGGCUAACUCCGUGCCAGCAGCCGCGGUAAUACGGAGGGUGCAAGCGUUAAUCGGAAUUACUGGGCGUAAAGCGCACGCAGGCGGUCUGUCAAGUCGGAUGUGAAAUCCCCGGGCUCAACCUGGGAACUGCAUUCGAAACUGGCAGGCUAGAGUCUUGUAGAGGGGGGUAGAAUUCCAGGUGUAGCGGUGAAAUGCGUAGAGAUCUGGAGGAAUACCGGUGGCGAAGGCGGCCCCCUGGACGAAGACUGACGCUCAGGUGCGAAGGCGUGGGAGCAAACAGGAUUAGAUACCCGUGUAGUC
Molecule: ribosomal RNA, 464 nt
Filed under: uncultured bacterium
Lineage: Bacteria
Description: bacterial SSU rRNA
Rfam family: Bacterial small subunit ribosomal RNA
Source: RNAcentral